This 844-nucleotide ribosomal RNA is filed under the name Bacillus subtilis. RNAcentral describes it as "bacterial SSU rRNA". It matches the Rfam family "Bacterial small subunit ribosomal RNA", at positions 1 to 834 of the family's 1533-position model. The record is from RNAcentral. Lineage: Bacteria; Bacillati; Bacillota; Bacilli; Caryophanales; Bacillaceae.
AUUAGAGUUUGAUCCUGGCUCAGGACGAACGCUGGCGGCGUGCCUAAUACAUGCAAGUCGAGCGGACAGAUGGGAGCUUGCUCCCUGAUGUUAGCGGCGGACGGGUGAGUAACACGUGGGUAACCUGCCUGUAAGACUGGGAUAACUCCGGGAAACCGGGGCUAAUACCGGAUGGUUGUUUGAACCGCAUGGUUCAAACAUAAAAGGUGGCUUCGGCUACCACUUACAGAUGGACCCGCGGCGCAUUAGCUAGUUGGUGAGGUAAUGGCUCACCAAGGCAACGAUGCGUAGCCGACCUGAGAGGGUGAUCGGCCACACUGGGACUGAGACACGGCCCAGACUCCUACGGGAGGCAGCAGUAGGGAAUCUUCCGCAAUGGACGAAAGUCUGACGGAGCAACGCCGCGUGAGUGAUGAAGGUUUUCGGAUCGUAAAGCUCUGUUGUUAGGGAAGAACAAGUGCCGUUCGAAUAGGGCGGCACCUUGACGGUACCUAACCAGAAAGCCACGGCUAACUACGUGCCAGCAGCCGCGGUAAUACGUAGGUGGCAAGCGUUGUCCGGAAUUAUUGGGCGUAAAGGGCUCGCAGGCGGUUUCUUAAGUCUGAUGUGAAAGCCCCCGGCUCAACCGGGGAGGGUCAUUGGAAACUGGGGAACUUGAGUGCAGAAGAGGAGAGUGGAAUUCCACGUGUAGCGGUGAAAUGCGUAGAGAUGUGGAGGAACACCAGUGGCGAAGGCGACUCUCUGGUCUGUAACUGACGCUGAGGAGCGAAAGCGUGGGGAGCGAACAGGAUUAGAUACCCUGGUAUCCGCCCUUAGUGCUGCAGCUAACGCAUUAAGCAGGGUU